This is a long non-coding RNA of Acanthaster planci (crown-of-thorns starfish), 297 nucleotides long. The record is from RefSeq and is a predicted model, not a curated record. NCBI's taxonomy places the organism in Eukaryota, Metazoa, Echinodermata, Asteroidea, Valvatida, Acanthasteridae.
GUAGGAGAAUGUGGAAGAAACGCGGGAAGUGAAAUUGCUGUGGAUGACAUCAUCGUUUUGGAAGGGCAAUGCGACAACAAGGCCACCUUCUCAGAUCUGGAGUGUGAUUUUGAUUUCAACGCUUUCUGUGCGUACAAAAACAACCCAAACAAUGACUUUGACUGGCAUCUCCAUAGCGGUCCAAUAUCAGGCCCUGACACUGGGCCCGAAGCAGACCGUACCACAGGAGAUCCAAGCGGAUUUUAUAUAUACAGCGAGGCAUCGAGACACCCUCGAGGUGAUCAAGCUCGAUUAGAU